CCUACGGUGGGCAGCAGUGAGGAAUAUUGGUCAAUGGGCGCGAGUCUGAACCAGCCAAGUAGCGUGAAGGAUGACUGCCCUACGGGUUGUAAACUUCUUUUAUAAAGGAAUAAAGUGAGGCACGUGUGCCUUUUUGUAUGUACUUUAUGAAUAAGGAUCGGCUAACUCCGUGCCAGCAGCCGCGGUAAUACGGAGGAUCCGAGCGUUAUCCGGAUUUAUUGGGUUUAAAGGGAGCGUAGGUGGAUUGUUAAGUCAGUUGUGAAAGUUUGCGGCUCAACCGUAAAAUUGCAGUUGAAACUGGCAGUCGUGAGUACAGUAGAGGUGGGCGGAAUUCGUGGUGUAGCGGUGAAAUGCUUAGAUAUCACGAAGAACUCCGAUUGCGAAGGCAGUUCACUGGACUGCAACUGACACUGAGGCUCGAAAGUGUGGGUAUCAAACAGGAUUAGAUACCCUUGUAGUC
RNAcentral lists this ribosomal RNA (460 nucleotides) under uncultured bacterium. RNAcentral's name for it is "partial 16S ribosomal RNA". It matches the Rfam family "Bacterial small subunit ribosomal RNA", at positions 338 to 795 of the family's 1533-position model. The record is from RNAcentral.